Long non-coding RNA from Oncorhynchus masou masou (cherry salmon), 700 nucleotides. RefSeq lists it as uncharacterized. The transcript has 3 exons. The record is from RefSeq and is a predicted model, not a curated record. NCBI's taxonomy places the organism in Eukaryota, Metazoa, Chordata, Actinopteri, Salmoniformes, Salmonidae.
UGGCUUUUGUGGCGCGAUGGGUAAUGGGUAAUGAUGCUUCGUGGGUGUCUGUUGUUGGUGUGUGCAGAGGGUCCCUGGUUCGUGCGAGGGGACGGACAAAAGAUAUACUGUUUCAUUGAUGCUGUUGACCUGGAUCAUUGGUUGCUGUGGAAAAAGAGGAGGUCAAAAGGUUGGGACAAUGACCAAAAAACACACCUCCAGGCUGUGUAAGGGCUAUUUGACCAAGGAGAGUGAUGGAGUGCUGCAUCAGAUGACCUGGCCUUCACAAUCAACCAACCUCAACCCAACUGAGAUGGUUUGGGAUGAGUGGGACUGCAAGGAAAAGCAGCCAACAAGUGCUCAGCGAUGGGGAUUCCCUGCUUCUGAGAGAAAUGACUGCCAUCAUGCAUAAAGGGGUCGACUUAGGCUUUUCCCAUCCUGUCACACAUAUCGUGAGUGGAGUGGCCCCAGUUGAGCAUGAGCUAACCUGGAAUACCAUGGGUGUCAGACCUAGCGUUGCUUGGAUCGCUUACCACCAUACUACCACCACAGGACAGACCUUUCAUGGAGCGAUGGUUCAGAAAGCCCAAGGGGCCAGGGGCUGGGUCCAGCACACCUUGGUCCAAUUGCAGGAGAUGCUGGCUGAGAGAUACUCAACUGCUGAGCCUGUGAGGAUAUUCCCCAGCCGUCCUGAACCACAAAGAUUCAAACCAAGUGUGAU